Molecule: ribosomal RNA, 366 nt
Filed under: Triticum aestivum (bread wheat)
Lineage: Eukaryota; Viridiplantae; Streptophyta; Magnoliopsida; Poales; Poaceae
Description: partial small subunit ribosomal RNA
Source: RNAcentral
AUGUAUCCCAUUGCUUGGGCUGCUGUUGAACUAGAAAAUAAGGACUCCUGGUUCUGGUUUAUGGCAUUGAUAAAUAAAGACUUGGAGAUUGCAAAUCAAGGUGAAGGAUGGGUGUUCAUAUCAGAUCAGCAGAAAGGUCUUAUCAAUGCUAUCUCCAAGGUUGUACCAAAUGCUGAACAUAGAAAUUGUGCUAGGCAUAUUUAUGCUAACUGGAAGAAAAAGCAUAGGGAUCAAUCAUACCAGAAGAGGUUUUUGGCUUGUGCAAAAUCCUCAAACAGAGUACAAUUCAAUUUAAACAGAGCAAAGCUUGCUCAGCUCACACCAGAUGGAGCAAGAGAUAUGAUGCAGUCAGAGCCAAAGCAUUAG